CUUGCUCCCCGGGUGACGAGUGCCGUACGGGUGAGUAAUGUCUGGGAAACUGCCCGGUGGAGGGGGAUAACUACUGGAAACGGUAGCUAAUACCGCAUAACGUCUUCGGACCAAAGUGGGGGAUCUUCGGACCUCACGCCACCGGAUGUGCCCAGAUGGGAUUAGCUGGUAGGUGGGGUAACGGCUCACCUAGGCGACGAUCCCUAGCUGGUCUGAGAGGAUGACCAGCCACACUGGAACUGAGACACGGUCCAGACUCCUACGGGAGGCAGCAGUGGGGAAUAUUGCACAAUGGGCGCAAGCCUGAUGCAGCCAUGCCGCGUGUAUGAAGAAGGCCUUCGGGUUGUAAAGUACUUUCAGCGGGGAGGAAGGCGGUGAGGUUAAUAACCUUGCCGAUUGACGUUACCCGCAGAAGAAGCACCGGCUAACUCCGUGCCAGCAGCCGCGGUAAUACGGAGGGUGCAAGCGUUAAUCGGAAUUACUGGGCGUAAAGCGCACGCAGGCGGUCUGUUAAGUCAGAUGUGAAAUCCCCGGGCUUAACCUGGGAACUGCAUUUGAGACUGGCAGGCUUGAGUCUCGUAGAGGGGGGUAGAAUUCCAGGUGUAGCGGUGAAAUGCGUAGAGAUCUGGA
Molecule: ribosomal RNA, 630 nt
Filed under: Serratia sp. PSu3_33
Lineage: Bacteria; Pseudomonadati; Pseudomonadota; Gammaproteobacteria; Enterobacterales; Yersiniaceae
Description: bacterial SSU rRNA
Rfam family: Bacterial small subunit ribosomal RNA
Source: RNAcentral